UACGUAGGGUGCAAGCGUUGUCCGGAAUUAUUGGGCGUAAAGAGCUCGUAGGCGGUUUGUCGCGUCUGCCGUGAAAGUCCGGGGCUCAACUCCGGAUCUGCGGUGGGUACGGGCAGACUAGAGUGAUGUAGGGGAGACUGGAAUUCCUGGUGUAGCGGUGAAAUGCGCAGAUAUCAGGAGGAACACCGAUGGCGAAGGCGGGUCUCUGGGCAUUAACUGACGCUGAGGAGCGAAAGCAUGGGGAGCGAACAGG
This 253-nucleotide ribosomal RNA is filed under the name uncultured bacterium. RNAcentral describes it as "partial 16S ribosomal RNA". It matches the Rfam family "Bacterial small subunit ribosomal RNA", at positions 524 to 776 of the family's 1533-position model. The record is from RNAcentral.